AGAGAAGUACUCAGGUGGCUGAAGAGGACGGUUUAUUAUACCGUUAGAUUGGGUUACCGGUGCGCGGAUUCAAAUCCCGCCUUCUCAC
RNAcentral lists this transfer RNA (88 nucleotides) under Pallidibacillus pasinlerensis. Its description in RNAcentral is "tRNA-Asn". It matches the Rfam family "tRNA". Rfam says of the family: Transfer RNA (tRNA) molecules are approximately 80 nucleotides in length. Lineage: Bacteria; Bacillati; Bacillota; Bacilli; Caryophanales; Bacillaceae. The record is from RNAcentral.